GUGGCUCAAUGGCAGAGCAACUGACUCUUAAUCAGUGGGUUGAAGGUUCGACGCUUUUC
Molecule: transfer RNA, 59 nt
Filed under: Chlorobium ferrooxidans DSM 13031
Lineage: Bacteria; Pseudomonadati; Chlorobiota; Chlorobiia; Chlorobiales; Chlorobiaceae
Rfam family: tRNA
About the family: Transfer RNA (tRNA) molecules are approximately 80 nucleotides in length. Their secondary structure includes four short double-helical elements and three loops (D, anti-codon, and T loops). Further hydrogen bonds mediate the characteristic L-shaped molecular structure. tRNAs have two regions of fundamental functional importance: the anti-codon, which is responsible for specific mRNA codon recognition, and the 3' end, to which the tRNAs corresponding amino acid is attached (by aminoacyl-tRNA synthetases). tRNAs cope with the degeneracy of the genetic code in two manners: having more than one tRNA (with a specific anti-codon) for a particular amino acid; and 'wobble' base-pairing, i.e. permitting non-standard base-pairing at the 3rd anti-codon position.
Source: Rfam by way of RNAcentral